UACAGGCGGAAGCGGAUAGCACAGGCAGCCACAUCUCUGGGCUCCAGCUUGGUGAAGGUGACCUUCUCCUUAAAAACAGGGUUGGGGCCUCUCUGUAUGCUUGUCCUUCCCCUCUGUUUCUUACUGGGCAGCAGAACUACGUGAACUUGCCAGGAGUUGACACCACUUCGGUCCUUAUCUGGGAGGCCCUGCGCUCUCACAAUGGUCACUGUGAGCUUCUGGCUGGAACCUUUAUAUUCAAAGAUGACAUCCAAGUCACCACAUUUUGAGAUGGGCUCCAGGGCCCCAGUCGGCACCUGAAAAUUGGCCCCAUCCUGUUCCUGUUGCAGAUAGAGGAAGAGAUUAGGAAUGGAAAUGAUAAUGCCCAAAUACAUUUUGGUGAGAUAGAGCCCCUCUGUUCUCUAACAACACUGUACUUUUUGACUGCUAGCACACAUCCCUGUUCACUAGAAGGGUCUGUUUACUGGUGUACAUCUCCCUUAGAUUGUAAAUUCUUUGGGGGUACAGCGCCUGGCAUAAGGUGAAUCUUCACGAAUGCUUCUGGAAUGAAUGAACAAAGCUUUUAUAUUUUACAAAGUGUUGUCAUAUACACUCUCAAAAAGCACACCUGACCACUAUCAUUGAAACCGAGGUCUAAAGUCUAAAAUUAGUCACCUAUACAGCUUCCAAGAGAGAACUUUUUCUGGAGUUCCCAGAAAAAAUGGUUGAGCCUGGGCCUGUGCUCCAAGAGCCAGGACUUCCUGCAGAUGAGAAUCCUAAUGGGGGUCACAGACAGGUGAUUCUUCAGUAGAUUUUCCAGCUACAUGGGAGAAAAUGUCUAGGGUAGAGCUUCUCAAACGUUUGUGUGGACUUGAGUCACUCAGAGUUUCUGAUUCUGUAGGACUGGGGUGGGGCCUGAGGCUCUGCAUUUCUCAGGUCACAAGGAUGUCACCAUUGGCCUCAAACCACACUCUGAGUACUGAGGGUUUCGGAGGGCAUCCUCAGCAGCCACUUAGCAAACAGCAAUACCAGACGUGGAGACAGAACUUGGGUUGAAAUCAUAACUCUACCAUGGACUGGCUUUUUGACCCUGGCCAAAUAGGCCACCCUCUCUGUGGUCUAGCUGAAAAAUGAGCAUUAAGAUGCCUAUUUGAUGGAGUGUUAUAGCAAGGUUUUAAGAGAUAUGGGAAAACACCUGGCUCAGACCAGACUCCAUAAAUACCUAUUCCCAUCAAUGGACUGAUGACACCUAUUUUCAAACAUGGCCCCCCUCAUUAUACAAUAUCACCCUUCGACAACAAUUCACCCAUAGCCAGUCAGAUCUGAUGACCUCACUGAGAACACUGAACUGAGCUGAUUAUAAUGAAGUAGUCUCUAACAAACUAUAAAGAAUGUCAACAUAAUUUGAUUUUUUUCUAUGAAGGCAUGAUACUUACUCAUAACUAAACUUUGGCCUGAUUCUUAUUAUAAAUCAGAACCCAUUCUUAUUUAUGUGACUGAACACCAGACUUCGAUAAUCUAAAGACUACUUUAAAAUAUAUGAUAAAGCACCUCAAAAACGUGCAUUCAUCAUCAAAACUUCCCCACAGAGUCGAGGUGAAAGUGCACAGUUCACUGGAAUGAGACAUCUUUAGGCGACCCAGGUCUACCACUUACUCUCUCCAUGACAUUGGACAAGGUAUUUAAUCUUUCCACUUGUGGCUUUCUUCAACAGUAAAAUGGGGGAUGAAACCAAUUACAGGAUUGUUGCGAAAAUUAAAGGACUUGACAAACAGGAGACAUAGCAUAAAUGUCUUCUCUUUUAAAAUGCACAUUCGUCUACCAAGAAAAUUUAGGCUUUUGCAAAAAAAGGGAAGCUCCUUAUAUUCUUUCCUCAGCAUGCAUUCAUGUGAGAUUGCUUCUAUUCAGAGGUACUUAGUUUCAAGUGAUAAAAGUGGUUGCUAUAGAGACUUCUGAAUACAACUGACUAGUGUAGAUUUAAUAUUAGAAGCAAGUCUCCAAGGAGUUAGGCUAACUCAGAAAUCAAGUCACAGUCUUCUGUUAAAACUCCCAUCUAUUUUAGCCUCCUCUUGAUCAUCUCUAUAUUGCUUGCUGGAUCAGAAGUAAUCAGGGCUAACAUCUACUAAGCUGUCUCUUGUGCCAGGUACCAUACUAAACACUUUAUGGUCUGCAAAAGCCCACUUUCAGGCACUUCAGACCUUCUCGGCCUCACCUUUUCCAGCAGGCACAGACUGUUGGGCUCUAAGUAGCUUCAGCCUGGCACAGCCCAACACAGUCUUACCGCUUGUCCAGGCAAUGCAACUCUCAACUCCCACCACAGGCCUCUACUGAUGUCAAGGAUUGGAAUGUUACAGAAUGCUGCAUGGCAUUCAUGUAUAUAAAGUCCAGAGUGUCGUGGAGGUUAAUGCCCCAUGCAAUAAACUUGUGUCCCCUUGGAUAGAUGUCCUGAGAUGAGUUAGCACAGCUUCUUGCAGUCCCAUAAGAUCAAGCCAUGAGCCACACUUAGUGGUGGCCAACUUGAUUACACAUUCUUAUACUGGCUCUCCCUUCUACCCUGCUUCAUUCCCCCCUUGUCCCUCACUCUUCUCAGAGAAUCCCUGUUCUCAGGGAUUAUACAUCCUGACAAAACAGGCUCUGCUUUUUGGGAAUCUACCUAAGAAAUGUUAUCUUUUAAAAUAUUCACAUUAACCUAACAAGGUAGGAAUUUUAAUAUCUUCAUUUUGUGGAGGGAGGAAACUUAAGGCUUAGAAAGACUAAAUAACUCACUCACUGCUCCCAACAUCAUAUGCCCUACCAAGGCUAUGCAGGAUUUACCAAUAUUAAUGCUCAAAAUCCUAAACCUUAGACUGAACCAUGAUGACUCCCUUCUACCCCCCCCCCAAGCCUCUCACCACAGCUAUUUAUAUUUGUAGUAAGUGUGUGGGGUGAGGCGGGAGUAAAAGGAGAGAUGGAAACACAUACUACUUUGAAUUUCACAUCCUUUUAGGUCCCUGCUCUUCAUAAUAGUUAGCAGAAGUUGUCAGCAACUUCAAUGCCAAGGUAAAAAUAUUCUAGUCAGUGACUUAUCUCUCCACUUAUCCAUCGGGCUAUCUAUUCAGACAAAUGCUCAUUCCACCUGCAGGUCUGUGCUAAGCCCUUUGAAGGUCUCUGAAACAACUCUCCUAAGAACCCUGCAUAAAACAGAGCUGUAGGCCCUAGCCAGGCUCUGGACAGGGACGAUCCGAGCUGUGGCACAGGGAAACUGGGCUCUGUGGCCCCUUCCUGGGUUGAUCUGAAACAAAGAUUUGUGAAGGCUGGUAUUUUUAUAGCAAUUAAUUAUUUCAACACACUUUACCUAUCACCAGGCAACUAAAGGCUCUCCUCAUGCGGGUACUGUUAAUACCACUAAUCCAUCUGACCUUCCUGCAAGGUAAAAAUCUCUUCAUUUUUAUCCCCAUUUGGCAGAUUUUAAUUAACUUCUCAAGGCCAACCAGUUAAUCAGUAGAAAGCAGAGAUGAAAAGUGGGACACCUGCCUCCCUGUGUGCUCAAAAUCACCAGCCACCCGUCCAUUGUCUUCCCUGCCAAGCCUUGGGUCUGCAGGAAAAAGUUGACGGCCUUUUCCAGCAGAAUAGAGCAGUGCUCAAAAAUCCAUCAGCCUAAAGGGUAGUCACACUGUAUGACUGGUUUCCUUCUAAGGCAAAAGAAAUGAUUCCUUUAGCUCUAAGAUCCUGAUUUUUCUCUAAGAUGGGAAUAUUUGUGCCACGUUGUCAAAACCCUCGUAGGUUUAAAGAUUUUCUAUCAAAUUGAAAGCCUUUGUGUUUUAGUAAGAUAGUGUUGAUGUCAUCUGUGUGGCCCAAAGUAAACAGACCUGCAAUAUGUUCCCAAUGCCAGAUACACAGGGGAAGACUGGGUUCUUAAUACAGUUAAGAGGCAAAUAAAUCAAUUCUUAAAAGGCAAGCUAAGCCUGCAAAGCAGGCAGUUACAGGAACUGCCUCCGAGCCGCAUCUGAGGUUCUACUGUAGGAGCACCAAAUUACAGUUUUUGUCUCAAAAUAGAUAGGAGGUUGAAUGGAGCACACAGAGAUGUCUGGGUAUUUUUGGAGUCUGAGAACAUUUAGUGCUCUCAACACCAAGUCUUCUAUUACAGCUCUGUGAGUCAGGCAGAUGGGAGGUUACCUGGCAAUUCCAAGCCUGAGGGAGCAAUUUUCAAGAGGACAGAGUUAUCAAUAGGCAGGUAAACGAUUUCUGUUUUGUUUUUGUGUGAGAAUCCAAAAAGAAUAUUUUUAAGCAUUCAAUGUUAUUGUGUGGGAUUUGAUAGGACUUGUCAGCAGCAAAUCAACUGGGAAGCAUAAAUUUUUCCCAAAACUUAUACGGUUAAUAGCUUUGGGUGUCUCUAUAUGUAGGAAUGCCCUUGACAAGCCACAAACCAUGUAUCUGCGUUACUGUUUCUCAUCCUCAGCUAUGACACCAACAUGUGGGUGCGCGCGCGCACACACACACACACACACACACACACACACACACACACACACACACACCUCCUUAUGCUCUCUCUAUACACCCCAGUGCAUCAACUAUAAGACUUUGGAACAUUAUUUUCUGUGAUUUUUUUUCCUCCUCCUUGAUGAGCAUCUGGUGUGUAUGACAGCCCAGGUCCUUCUAAGAGCUUCCACCUGGUUAUUUUCUCAAGCAGACCGAUGUUAACAAAAUCCAUUCACUUUUCUCCUUCCUCUUGCCCCACAAAUUAUAUGAAUAUUUUAUAUACAUAUAUUACAUAUUUCAUCAAAAUUAAUUUCAAAGUAGGCAGUAGACAUUAUUAUUUAAUAUCUCCUAAUGUUAUAGAAUCAUAAUAAAAGACAUCUAGCUAAUAAAGAAUAACUAUAAAUGCCUAUACGAUAAUGUUUGUAAAAUCUUUAUCACAGUGCCUGGCACAUAGUAAUUGCUCAAUAAAUGGUAGUGUCUGUAAUAAUCACCUCCAAUCAUACCUCUGGGUGGUUAGGAAUAUUCUGGAGUAAGUUUUAAUUAAAAAAUAAAUUUAGAAGGAGCAUCUUUUAUCAGAGGUUUAUUCCAAAAAGCAAAGUCAAUGGCAAGAGGGUCAUCACAAACUAAUGCCAUCUCCUAGAUCUUGAAUUCAGUGCAAAUCUAACAAACAUACUUACACUGCAAGAUAUUCAUCAUAUUUUGCAUCAUUUCAUUUGGAGGGCCACUGUAUUUUAGUUUAAUUUUCAAGUAAUUCUCAUAUUCAAAUAAUUAUAACUCAAGAUUGGGGUAAAUAAAAAUCGACUCCACUUAAUUGAAACCAUGAAGGAAAUAAACCAGUCUUCUCUAAAGAACUAAAAAAUCUUUUAUAUAAACAAGAAGCCUGAUUGCUGCUGGGUCCAUUCUGCCACUCUUCUUUUUUUCCCCCACUUUGAUAGAAAUUUAUUUACUAUUCUUUUAUUGGUAUACAUAGGAGCUGUGACUUAGUCACCUGAAAAAUUUUUAUUUCUUAUAAAUAAAGGCUCUUUAGGUCUUUGUUUUUCAAGGCAUUGCUUCCUUUCUGGAGAAAUUUUUUCCUUAAGACAUGAGCAGGAAGAGGAAAGCAAGAACUCACUAGAGAGCACCCAAUACUCAAGCAAAGAAAGAAUGGAAAACAAAUAACUUGCCUCUGGACUCCACAUGGAGCUGCUGUCAGUAGCAUAGGAGUCUUCAAAUCCCCGGUUAUUAAAAGCUGUCUCCAAUUCCAAGCUGCCUUCUGUGGACUGGCGACUAAGGCUGCGAGGCACACUGGUCUCUUGGGGAGAUGCACCCUGGUGCCUGGUGUUUCCCACCUCACAUGGGGACUGUGAGUGGGCAGAGAUGGGAUCAUCUUCACCAUAAGACAGAGUCUCAGAAUAGUUUGGUUGGCUGGCUCCAUCCAAACCUAAAUGUGCAAUAAGGAGACUAUUUCAAAUGUAUUAUUAUUUUACACCUUUUUACCUAGAGAAGUUGAGCAGUAGCAACAACACAAAUCAAGAUCUCAAAAACAGAGGCACUGGGUGGCUCAGUCACCAGGCUCAGUUCAUGAUUUCAAGGUCAUGAGAUCAAGCCCCAUGUCAGGCUCAAUGCUGGGUGUGGAGCCUGCUUAAGAUUCUCUCUCUUUCUCUCUCUCUCUAAGUAAAAAAAAAAUCUCAAAAACAAAACCCAUCAAAUAACACCUACAGAAAUAUAAUUGUAUCCACAGAGUGGAUAAACUUGGUCUAGAUAACCAAAAAGACCAUUAGUUCAUUACAUGGAAUAUACAAAGGCUUAAUACUUUCUAACAAUAUGAAUAUAAAAGAUGUGUGCUUAUAUAAAAAAACACAUUAGCAUUUUGUCGGAACUAACGAACACAAGACUUUGGGGAUGGAUCUAGAAAGCGAGAACAACAAUCCACUAUGGAGAUCAUACUGUCUCCUGACUCUAGGAUUCUUCUUUCUCUCUUUCACAUUCACCAUCUUACCCUCUCCUUGAAAGGCUUCAGUGGUUCUCUCAAGUAAAAAAUUCUUUACUUGAUCCAUGGAACACUGGACUUGGAUUCAGAUGAUCUGUGUUUAAAACCUAGCUCUGUGUUAAGAAUUUACACAAUAUUUGGACUGUCUGAACUUUUGUUUUCUUAUCCAUAAAAUGAUGAUAAGAGCCAUCACAGAGUCAUGUGGGCACAUGAAAUAAUAUCCACCUGGCAGCCACUAGAUUUUCGAUAAAUAUUAGCCUUGCUUGUUUGUCUGACCCAAACUAGCCUCCUCCAACCCUAUAAACCCCAAUUUUCUAUUGCCUCCCACCUUGCUGUCACCUGUGGCCUCAUGGGCUCAUGAAAACACAAGUUGUGUAUUUCUUUUCACGAUGGUCCCCAAACCCCCUCUCCUCUCAUCUUUCCUUUCCAUCCAAAGUCCAAUAACUCCUGACUCUUCCCUGACUCCUUGGACUCAGUGUUUUCCCCUGACCUUGGUGUUAUUCUGUUUUCUCUUUCAGCCCUGCAUCAUCUGUGCAUACCCUUCCUCUUCUUUAAAGUCUAGGUUACCCUCGGACAGUAAGGAAAAACGCAGAGUCUUCCAAAGCAAUAGUUUUCACCCUGACUUUCCUCUCAAUGACGUAUUCUCUCUUUGGUCUCCAAUCUCCUCCAGAAGCCACAAUCCCAGGAUAAGAGAAAAUUAGAGAUAGAGAUGGGAUGAGUGAGUGGGAUGACAAAGUAGAGAUGAUAAAUUCAGCUCUCAUUUACACGUUGUGUGGUAGCAAUCGUUUCUGCUGUUGGUCUUAAAGCCUCAGAAUAUAAGCUCCUUGAAGGUACUAAGCCACAUACAAAUACGUUCUAGUCUUUAUCCACCAGUGGGUUUCACUAAACCCUCAAACAACUUUCCAGGCUAGGCAGGUAACAAAUAAUUGAAGCAUUCAGGUGUGCAGCAAUAUGGAAUAGUGGUGACAGUCGUUUACCAGACAGUUUAUGACUCACCUGCAGUAAACAUGCAAACUUAAAAUUGUAUUAUCACCCUAUGCAGACUAUACAAAAACAUCUUUAGGUGGUCUUGGUACUCAGAGCCCAACUUCAGACUCCUGAUUUGGGAUUUUGCAACACCAUGGCAAUCCACUGAGAAGUUCCCCUAUCUGCCUUGUUAUUGUUAAUAAUUCAGUGCAGUCCCCUUGGAAACACUUUCAUAGGACACCAUAACAUUUUUACAUUCACACACUCAGUUAUUUGGCAAACACACUUUAAAAAGGCCACAGAAAAUGACAGAACGAGAGAUACUCCAUAUGCAAAACCCUACAACAUAAAGCAGAAUUUUCUUCUAAGGCUCUAAUUAGCACAUCCAUUCCUCAUAUACAUGAACACUAAAAUGUCCUAUUAAACAGUGGGUCAUCCAUCAACGUGUGUAGCACCCAGCAGGAUUUCAGCACAAAGUCUAACUUUGCCAAGAAAUUACCCCUAUAAAACUGUCUCAUGACUUUAACUCCUACAGUGAUAAUACCUAGAUCAGUAAUAAGGGAAUUUUCAAAAGCUACAUUAAACCUUGAAAAGCUAUUCAUAACCGAAAAACAUAAGAACCAUAUUAAUGUAACAAACCAUUUUCUUUGACAGACAAGCAAGGACUGAAUUAGAAAAGCAAAGCUAGGGUACAAGUCACAAGGAGAAGGAGAAAGAAAGAGGAUUCACAAUCACAUAAAGCCAUCUUCCCAUCCUGUAAGUUAAGGAAGAUCAUGUCACCUUAAACACAUACAGGAAAGUAAUUGCCUGUUGUCAGAGAAAUGUGUCCUAGCUUCCUAGAAAUUAUAGGCCAUAAUUAUGUCACAUAAACCAUAUUUUAGCAGAAAACUUUUUUGCACUUUUUAAUCCAUAUCCCACCUUGCCAUGGCAUAACCCUAUUAUCCAGUUACUUCAUUUUAUACUCCCAAACCCUUCCCUCCCACCACCACCCACACAUAUACAAAUACUUUUUCUCACCAUCUACGAUGAUGGUCAGUUUUAUGUGUCAACUUGGCCAAGCUAUAGGCUUCAAUUAAUUAAUCAAACAUUAAUUGAGGUGAUACUAUGGAAGUAUUUUAUAGAUGUGACUAAAGCCCUUAAGCAGUUGACUUUAAGUAAUGGAGAUUAUCCUACAUAAGCCUUAAGAGGAGAACUGAGGCCUCUCUGGACACAGAGAAAUUUUACCUGUGGAUUUCAGAGCUCUAUAUUUCUCUACCAGCUUCAGUAUUAGCAUAGGCCAAUUGUUUGCAAUAAAUCUCUUGAUAUAUAUAUAUAUAUAUAUAUAUAUAUAUAUAUCACCUUGAUAUCACCUUAAAAAAUUAUUCUUAUAUAAACUCUAUCCCCCAUGUGGGGCUUGAACUCAUGACCCCGAGAUCAAAAGCUGCAUGCUGUGAUUAAACCAGCCAGGCAUCCCAAUAUCACCUUGAGAUAUAUAUAUAUAUAUCUCAGAUCCGAGGUGGAUCACUUCACGUAAACCCUCUUUGACAUUACUGGGGAGACAGUGUCAAUCAAUGUACCACACUAAGUCAGAUAAGUGAGACAAGAGAGAACCUGCCAGGAACAUGAAGAUAGCAUUUUCUUGGUUCUAAUAACCUCACUAUUCCAUCUAGAAUAAAGAACCUCACUUGAAACAUGAAACCUUUACUUUCAUUGGUUGAACAUUUUGAACAUAUUUUUAAAGUGUAAGAGUUGUCUACAAUUAAAUUUUAUCUUAGAAAAUCAUGUUUAAGGUAGAGUGAAAGGGACAUCUGGGUGGCUCAGUCUGUUAAGCCUCCAACUUCAGCUCAGGUCAUGUUCUCACGGUUUGUGGGUUCAAGCCCCGCGAGCCCCGCACUGGGCUCUGUGCUGACAGCUCAGAACCUGGAGUGUGCUUUGGAUUCUGUGUCUCCUUCUCUCUCUGCUCCUCCUCUGCUCACUCUGUCUCUCUCUCAAAAAUAAAUGAACAUUAAAAAAAUUUUUUUAAAUAAAAAAGGUAGAGUAAAAAAAAGCUAAGUAGAUGCAGGACAGACAAGAAAUGCACAAAUCUUCUCUGGGAUGAAUGCUUAAUCUCUUCCUUAUUCUUUCUUGCUGGAAAAUAAUUCACUGAUCUAAAGAUGAACAAAAAGAAGUGACACAGAAAAAAACAUCAUGCAAUAAAAAUUACAUUAACAUUUCCAUGGCAUUUGAUAACCUAAAAUUUAGCAUGCAGUUAUCCCUUCCUAUGAAAAUCCUGAUUUUCUUCAAAAUCUACAAAUAAUUUACUGCAUUAUCCAAUGCGGUGUGCUUUUCCCUCCCUCCAAUAGCGAAAGUAAUUUUAUCUUUUCUGUCACUAUCUGUCAAAAAUUUCAGAAUCCCCAGUUAUAAUUGAGGUUAUUGCUAAUUCCAGAAAGGGUAAGUUUGGAAUGGUUGUCAGAACUCUCAGAAAAGGAGCCGUUUGUAUAAAUCAGAAACUAGACAUUUGGGCUUCUGGGAAAUGGGGCCAUUAGCUUUUGAAUGCAACACGCUGCUCCCAGGGAAUCAACUGCUAUUAACUUUCAUUAGCUAACAUUUGCCCUCCUGGUGGAAGAGGGGAAGGCUGUGAUGCAACACCAGCAAAAUAGAAAACAAGAGAGGGAGUAACGAAAUGACGGAGGGCAGUAGCUACCGCUACCAUGCUUUGGUUACAUCACGCAUUUAUUUUUUCUCUUACCUUGGGCUAAAAGGAAUAGCAAUAAGAUAUGUUAUGUGGCUCAUAUCAGUAAGUAAAAUUACAUGGUGGAUAGCAAAUUGUUAUAUUUCUGCUGAAGAAUAAGGUUUUUUCUGUAUAUUCUUUGUUGCUGUUCUUUUUUUGGCCAGCCUUAUCCACCUUGUCAAGUCAGAAAUUUCUUCUCUGUUACCUUCUCUCAAUCCCAGGCUCUUGUUUUUCUCUUUCUAUUGCUAAGUGUGGAAAAAUAUGGAAGACCUGCAACUAUGCCUCCAUUGGUUUGACUAAUCACAUGUCCAAAGGAAAGAAGGAAAAGAUUAGAGAACUCAGGUCAUUUAGACUGGGUCACUAAAGUGGACAAUGUUCUUUUUGUCUAGCUUUUUACCAACUACAAUUCAUAGACCUUUCCCUGUUUCAAUAGCCUAUGCCUAUUCAGGGUUCCAGGCAUAAAGGACUCAGAGAGAUCCCUGACCUUCACUAGAAAAGCACUAAGAAAUAAUGCACCGUUCUUUCUCCAGGUUAUUUUGUGUACGUGGGGGGAUAGGAGGAGGACUCUUAACAAGGUCUACCUACUAUAACAAUUCACAGGCUGUGCUGAUCUACUUCAGAGUAUUAUUCCCUCCCCUUUGUGGAAGGUACUUAGUCUGAAGACAUCAGAGAAUGGCAGAACACUUUGCUCUUGCCCAGCAAGCAAUUCUCAUGUGGCAGAGGAUGGAAACAGAGGGGAAGGAUGGGGGGCGGGGGGGAGGGAAGAAACUACAGAAAAUGAGGACAAAUGUACAAGGUAUAUGUUAUCUGAAAAAGGCUAUUUGAUAUUAUUGUAAAACAUAUAUUUAUUUGAAAGAUAAAACACACAUAUUGUUUUAAGAACAUCAACUACUAAAAGAAAGUUUCCAAAAAUUUUUCUGAGGUCAUAUACAUAUAUGGAAAAUAGACUCAGUCAGGCUCUGGGCUGAUGGCUCGGAGCCUGGAGCCUGUUUCCGAUUCUGUGUCUCACUCUCUCUCUGCCCCUCCCCCGUUCAUGCUCUGUCUCUCUCUGUCCCAAAAAUAAAUAAACGUUGAAAAAAAAAUUAAAAAAAAAAGAAAAUAGACUCUAGGAUUCCAAAUGAGAGAAAAAUGACAGAAUCUCAAUGUCAGCAAACAGGUAUGUGGAAUAUUUGUAUUUAUCAGAAGAGAACAAGAUUUUAUAAAGCUUCAUAAAUACCAUUCUAAUUCUAGCCAUCAGUGUUCAAAAUAUACAAAAUGAUAACCUAAAAGGAAGGAAGGGGUCCCACAAAUCAGGGGUAAGGAUUUUGGCACUUCUUAUUCAUUCCUCCCAGUUCCCUGCAUGACACCCCCUCUGUGAGGUUGGUAAGACCCCCUCUACUCUGUUUCAGCCUCUGGGUCUCUCCCCCUUUUCUUUUCCUCUCUGGAGCCUCAGAUACAAGUGUAGUAAUCAAGUGACUCAAAGCUGUUCUUACGAUUGUCCAUCCCUGCUCUAGAUAAAGGAAGGGUUUCAUGCAAAUACCUUCACAGGCAGACACUUCUGUGUUAUCCUCUUCAUGGGUAGAGAGCAGGUGGCUGAAUUUUGAUUUCUGCUCCAAUCCCACCUGUGUGCCUUUCUUAGAUGCUUCUGAACGAAAACUCUGGGACCGGGACACGGAAAUCUCAAAUUGUUUGAUCACCUCCUCGUCACUGUCAGAAGAUGUGCAUGGCUCUUCAUCAUCUCCAAAGCUGUUAACUGGGAGCAAACAAGAGCCAUGAGUUUCAUGGGGGGCCCACAAUAAUACAGAGAUACAUAAUUUGGAGAAACAGAAGA
RNAcentral lists this long non-coding RNA (11874 nucleotides) under Lynx pardinus (Iberian lynx). The record is from RNAcentral. Lineage: Eukaryota; Metazoa; Chordata; Mammalia; Carnivora; Felidae.